Molecule: ribosomal RNA, 373 nt
Filed under: uncultured organism
Description: bacterial SSU rRNA
Rfam family: Bacterial small subunit ribosomal RNA
Source: RNAcentral
CAUGGGGUGCAAACGUUGCUCGGAAUUAUUGGGCGUAAAGCGCGCGUAGGCGGUUACUUAAGUCGGAUGUGAAAGCCCUCGGCUUAACUGAGGAAGUGCACCCGAAACUGAGUAGCUGGAGUACGAAAGAGGGUCGCGGAAUUCCCGGUGUAGAGGUGAAAUUCGUAGAUAUCGGGAGGAACACCGGUGGCGAAGGCGGCGACCUGGGUCGAGACUGACGCUGAGGCGCGAAAGGCGUGGGGAGCAAACAGGAUUAGAUACCCUGGUAGUCCACGCCGUAAACGAUGGGUGCUAGAUGUUUCUGGUAUUGACCCCGGAGGCGUCGUAGCUAACGCGUUAAGCACCCCGCCUGGGGAGUACGGCCGCAAGGCUA